UAUCUCAGGAAUUGGCAACUGGAUUGCAAAUGAAGUGCUAUACCAAGCAAGGAUUCAUCCUUUGCAGGUUUCUUCCAGCCUGUCCAAAGAAAGCUGUGCAACUUUACACAAGUGCAUCAAGGAGCUGAUAAAUAUCUGUAGGUCAUUCAGUAUGCUGUUGAAGUUGAUGAUGACAGCUCCCGUUUUCCUAACGAUUGGUUGUUUCAUUU
This is a long non-coding RNA of Hibiscus syriacus, 209 nucleotides long. RefSeq lists it as uncharacterized. Lineage: Eukaryota; Viridiplantae; Streptophyta; Magnoliopsida; Malvales; Malvaceae. The transcript has 3 exons. The record is from RefSeq and is a predicted model, not a curated record.